RNAcentral lists this long non-coding RNA (267 nucleotides) under Bos taurus (domestic cattle). RNAcentral's name for it is "long non-coding RNA NONBTAT014893". The record is from RNAcentral. Lineage: Eukaryota; Metazoa; Chordata; Mammalia; Artiodactyla; Bovidae.
CAGUAAUUCAGUGAGAGUAAUUUGGAGUUGAGUUUGAGUUCCCAGGAGGAGAAGGGACAUUAUGGAGAUUUCUGGAAGGCUGGCUUCUUAAGAACAAGGAUGUGUGAUAUCCUCUUAGAUUAUAAGACUAGCUGAGUCUGAAAUCAUAAAGCAUAGUACCAACUGAGAACUGAGGGUGAGUACUCCAAAAAGACGCACAAGGUACUCUGAGUAUCUGCCAUUAGAGGACUCUUCAAAACAUGACAUGAAGGGUUUAUGUAAACACUG